GGCUUAUGCCUGCACCAUCGACCGACCAUGAUCUUCUGUGAAAGGUUUGAGUACGAGCAUACCUGUUGGGACCCGAAAGAUGGUGAACUAUGCCUGAGCAGGGCGAAGCCAGAGGAAACUCUGGUGGAGGCUCGUAGAUGUGCUGACGUGCAAAUCGCUUUUCGGACUUGGGUAUAGGGGCGAAAGACUACUAGUAGCUGGUUCCCUCCGAAGUUUCCCCCAGGAUAGCUGGAGCUUGAUCAGUUUUAUCGGGUAAAGCGAAUGAUUAGAGGUACCGGGGAUGAAACAUCCUCGACCUAUUCUCAAACUUUAAAUAGGUAAGACGUCUGGGUUGCUUAAUUGAACCCAGGCACUCAAUGAGAGCUCCAAGUGG
RNAcentral lists this ribosomal RNA (373 nucleotides) under Trebouxia arboricola. RNAcentral's name for it is "eukaryotic LSU rRNA". It matches the Rfam family "Eukaryotic large subunit ribosomal RNA", at positions 742 to 1129 of the family's 3401-position model. The record is from RNAcentral. Lineage: Eukaryota; Viridiplantae; Chlorophyta; Trebouxiophyceae; Trebouxiales; Trebouxiaceae.